Lytechinus variegatus (green sea urchin) is the source of this 152-nucleotide long non-coding RNA. RefSeq lists it as uncharacterized. The record is from RefSeq and is a predicted model, not a curated record. The transcript has 2 exons. NCBI's taxonomy places the organism in Eukaryota, Metazoa, Echinodermata, Echinoidea, Temnopleuroida, Toxopneustidae.
GUAAAGCCUCUUACCCGAGGAUAUGGACGCAGCUUCCCUGUGAAGAAGAAUCCUGGCCAAGGGAUAUAAGGUUUGACAUCUUUCUUUUGAAGAUCUUUUACUCUCUUGUGGACUUGUUUAUGCACUCCCCAGCUUCCUUUAAAACAUUCCUG